CGCGCUGGUGCGUCGCCAUUGCCUGCCGGCCGAGCAGCUACCGCCGCCAGUUUUCGCUCGAUUCGCCGCCUCCUCCACCCAUCGGACGAAGCCGGCGACUCAGGAGCUUCAGAACAUCGCCCCGCACAUCGGCCGCCUCUUCCCAUCGUCAUCUCGACACCGGAGCACCGCCGCCGCGGGGAAGCUCGAGCCGGCCAUCGUCCUGCCACCACCGACCGGAUUCUGGCCGCCUUCGUCUAUCUCCGCCACCGAUGAGCGCACCUCCGAGCUCGUCGUCACAUCCUCUCUCGGUUCCCAUCCUCGCCGUGGCCACCGGCUCGCUGGAGCGCCAGCAAGCCGGCUGGCCGAAGCACUGUUGACAGGAAGAAGAAGGCUGUCCAUUUUGCGUUCAAGCCCCUGGAGAACCCUGUAAUGUUUUCCUCUUUUCUUUGUGUCUUGGCAAACUAGCAGAUAACCCCCUGGAUCUAUUAGUUUCCCUAGAUCCCUCCAACCUCGUUUAACCCAUAAAUUCUACGUUUUAGCUCCGUUUUAAUCCGUUCAUAUUGCGUUAGGUUCAUGAUGGCAUAAAGUGCACGUUAGUGGUAAUGUUUGCCUUCACACCUAUUUUUAAAAAUAAAUUUGAUAUUAAAUUGAUUAAUGCCUGAUAAACGAGUUCUUUUCUAAAUAAAAUCUAUUUAGUGUUAUACAUCGUUUUUCAUAAGAAGUGUUCAAUUGAUUAAAUGUCUACUUCGUAACCUUUCUAAAUAAAAGUUAAUUAGGUUAUAUAUCGGUUUUUUAUAAAACAAAAGUUAAUUUGAUUAACGGCUAUCUAAAUAAUUCUUCCAAUUAAAAGCCAAUCAGAGAUAUACCUCAAUGUUUCAUAAAUUAAAUUCAAUUUGAUUAAUGUUUAUUCAAUUUGAUUUCUAAAUAAAAGCUACGUACAUUAUAACUCGAGUUUUCAUAAUUAAAUGUUAAUUCAACUAAUAUGAAUAUAAAUGUGUUUCUAAAAUAAUCUGCUAGUUAAACUCGAAAUAUAAAGCUAUGCGCUUAGAUGUUUACAUGUAAUUUAUUUUUAAAUUAAAUAAUUAAUUUGCAUAAAUUGUACUUAAAUAUUUAUAAAUAAAAUUGGACUAAGUUUUACAUCAUCUUUUCUUAUGAAAAUAUAAAUAUGACUUGAUUAAUUGUAACUAAGGAUAUUUCUCUGAAAUAUCUUUACAUUGUUUUUCUCAACUAAAAUAAAUGAAGCUUGUAGCUCUCACCUUUUUUAAAAAUUCAAAUAUCUCAAUAGCUUUAUCUUUUCAACCAUAGUUCCGUUCUCAGCAUUUCCUAUGUUUGCGUGCAUCCUAGAAACGAGUCCUAUCCUUUAGUACGCUCUUUUAAAGCCUGUCUUUUAUUUUAGUGUAUUGUUCUUAGUUGUACUUGUUUGUUGCUUGUAUGUUUGUGCCGAUGUUCGCUCCGAGUAGAAGGAUCGCCAUUCGGAAGUUUUGAAGAGUAAGAGUUUCAAGAAAGCAAGAAGCCGAAGAGCAUAGCAGUAAGAGUAACUUUUCGUUGGAGAAAGGCAAGUGUCCCUAACCAUCCUUCUACCUAUGCUUUGUUAAUAAUAUCAUGAUAAUGUUAAUUGGAACAUGGAGCGACCACCCAGGAAAAUAGUGCUACCACAAGAUUAAAUGGCUCUGGCCUUGGCUGAAUAAUUAGAAACUCUAAUCUGGGGUAAUCUUACCAAAAGGGCAAGAGGGGAGGCGUUGAUGGGGUAUAACACUCGCUCUAUUGGGAAGUGGGCUUUGCUAAGACACUGUACCCACUAAGGGACUGUUAUGCUCUGCUUCGGCCUGAAACCUUAGCGGGUUACCACUUACUAGCAAAUCUUUGUAAAGGCCUCGUAGCGUCCCUAUGCAAUCACACCUCGGGAGUGUGGUAUGGUGCCUAGCUAGCACCGCAUGGUUAGAUCCAAAGUUCUUUGAACUUUUACGCGACUUGUGGGUAAAGAUGUGCAACCUCUGCAGAGUGUAAAACUGAUCGAUCAGCCGUGCUCACGGUCAAGAGCGGCCUGGACCAUCACAUGAUUAACUAGACUUGAAGAUGGACUUAAAUCGUUAUUCUGGUUAAUUCUAGUGGUCUUGCUGAGUACCAACCAUAAGUGUACUUACUCUUGCUUACUACUGCUUAGAAGAAGAAGGUGUGUGAAG
This 2165-nucleotide long non-coding RNA is filed under the name Setaria italica (foxtail millet). Its description in RNAcentral is "long non-coding RNA (SITA_LNC006264)". Lineage: Eukaryota; Viridiplantae; Streptophyta; Magnoliopsida; Poales; Poaceae. The record is from RNAcentral.